UNGUAGGCGGCUGGUCGCGUCUGUCGUGAANUCCUCUGGCUUAACUGGGGGCUUGCGGUGGGUACGGGCCGGCUNGAGUGCGGUAGGGGAGACUGGAACUCCUGGUGUAGCGGUGGAAUGCGCAGAUAUCAGGAAGAACACCGGUGGCGAAGGCGGGUCUCUGGGCCGUUACUGACGCUGAGGAGCGAAAGCGUGGGGAGCGAACAGGAUUAGAUACCCUGGUAGUCCACGCCGUAAACGUUGGGCACUAGGUGUGGGGGGCCUUUUCCGGGUCUUCCGCGCCGUAGCUAACGCAUUAAGUGCCCCGCCUGGGGAGUACGGCCGCAAGGCUAAAACUCAAAGGAAUUGACGGGGGCCCGCACAAGCGGCGGAGCAUGCGGAUUAAUUCGAUGCAACGCGAAGAACCUUACCAAGGCUUGACAUGUGCCGGUCGGCUCCGGAGACGGGGCUUCCUCCUUGUGGGGCCGGUUCACAGGUGGUGCAUGGUUGUCGUCAGCUCGUGUCGUGAGAUGUUGGGUUAAGUCCCGCAACGAGCGCAACCCUUGUCCCGUGUUGCCAGCACGUUGUGGUGGGGACUCGCGGGAGACUGCCGGGGUCAACUCGGAGGAAGGUGGGGAUGACGUCAAAUCAUCAUGCCCCUUAUGUCUUGGGCUUCACGCAUGCUACAAUGGCCGGUACAGAGGGCUGCGAUACCGUGAGGUGGAGCGAAUCCCUUAAAGCCGGUCUCAGUUCGGAUCGGUGUCUGCAACUCGACACCGUGAAGUUGGAGUCGCUAGUAAUCGCAGAUCAGCAACGCUGCGGUGAAUACGUUCUCGGGCCUUGUACACACCGCCCGUCACGUCAUGAAAGUCG
RNAcentral lists this ribosomal RNA (852 nucleotides) under uncultured bacterium. RNAcentral's name for it is "bacterial SSU rRNA". It matches the Rfam family "Bacterial small subunit ribosomal RNA", at positions 569 to 1413 of the family's 1533-position model. The record is from RNAcentral.